GCAAAAGUCGGAGCGGACAGAUGGGAGCUUGCUCCCUGAUGUCAGCGGCGGACGGGUGAGUAACACGUGGGUAACCUGCCUGUAAGACUGGGAUAACUCCGGGAAACCGGGGCUAAUACCGGAUGCUUGAUUGAACCGCAUGGUUCAAUUAUAAAAGGUGGCUUCUGCUACCACUUACCGAUGGACCCGCGGCGCAAUAACUAGUUGGUGAGGUAACGGCUCACCAAGGGGACGAUGCGUAACCCACCUGAAAGGGUGAUCGGCCACACUGGGACUGAAACACGGCCCAAACUCCUACGGGAGGCAGCAGUAAGGAAUCUUCCGCAAUGGACGAAAGUCUGACGGAACAACGCCCCGUGAGUGAUGAAGGUUUUCGGAUCGUAAAACUCUGUUGUUAGGGAAGAACAAGUACCGUUCGAAUAGGGCGGUACCUUGACGGUACCUAACCAGAAAGCCACGGCUAACUACGUGCCAGCAGCCGCGGUAAUACGUAAGUGGCAAGCGUUGUCCGGAAUUAUUGGGCGUAAAGCGCGCGCAGGCGGUUUCUUAAGUCUGAUGUGAAAGCCCCCGGCUCAACCGGGGAAGGUCAUUGGAAACUGGGGAACUUGAGUGCAGAAGAAGAGAGUGGAAUUCCACGUGUAGCGGUGAAAUGCGUAGAGAUGUGGAGGAACACCAGUGGCGAAAGCGACUCUCUGGUCUGUUACUGACGCUGAAGCGCGAAAGCGUGGGGAGCGAACAGGAUUAGAUACCCUGGUAGUCCACGCCGUAAACGAUGAGUGCUAAGUGUUAGAGGGUUUCCGCCCUUUAGUGCUGCAGCAAACGCAUUAAGCACUCCGCCUGGGGAGUACGGUCGCCAGACUGAACUCAAGAUGACGGGGCCGCACAGCGUGAGCAUGUGGUAUCGUAGCACGCGAGACUACAGUCUGACAUCUCUGAC
RNAcentral lists this ribosomal RNA (937 nucleotides) under uncultured Bacillus sp. RNAcentral's name for it is "bacterial SSU rRNA". It matches the Rfam family "Bacterial small subunit ribosomal RNA", at positions 57 to 985 of the family's 1533-position model. Lineage: Bacteria; Bacillati; Bacillota; Bacilli; Caryophanales; Bacillaceae. The record is from RNAcentral.